GCCACCGACGAUGGCCAAGUGAAAACUUGAGUACGGCUCCAUCACCACCAAAAGCACGUCUGGCUCAAAACCUCUUCUUUUUCAUUUAGUUCUUCUUGGCAUUUUUCGGUUUUUUCCUUGUAGAAGAACUUUGUCAAGUGGUGCUUCCUUUAGUAACAACCGUGAUUAGUUCGUUUGCGUGCGCAGAAAAGUGAAAACCGUGAAAUUUCCUUGUGUUUUUCGUUCGCACGCCGCUCUCUCGCCACACAAUACGCGAAGAAGGGAAAACUUUCCCAUUCAGCCAAUCUGACAAGAGCGACACGAAUUCCGCAGUGACCAUGGCCGAUAAUCAAAACACAGAGGAUCUCAUGAAGCAUUGCUACGAGAAUUUAAUUGUGAUAGACGUGGGCGCGAAUCUGACAAACAAAAAGUACAGCCGGGACCUCGACUCGGUGAUGCAGAGGGCAAAAGAUGCAGGUGUCCAAAAAAUUAUGGUCCCCGGCACAUCAGUCAAAUCCAGCAAAGAAGCUUUACGUCUCUCACGUAUCUACCCAGAUAUAAUCUAUUCCACAGCCGGUAUACAUCCACAUGAUUCAAAAUCAAUUGUGGAAGAGCCCGAAACGUGGUUUGAUUUCGAAGCAAUUGCACAAGCGCCUGAAUGUGUAGCAAUCGGACCGUGUGGCCUAGACUACCAGCGAGAUUUCUCCGAGCCAGACGUACAAAAGGAGAUAUUUGAGAAACAGUUACGUCUCGCUUGUAGUCUAAAUAAGCCAGUUUUGAUUCACGAACGAUCCGCUCAAGAUGAUGUAUUGGAAAUACUAAAGAAAUAUCCAAACAUAUCACAUGUUGUUAUUAGAGGAUUCAUGGGCACCACAGAGGAAGCACUCAAAUAUCUAGAUAUGGGAUACCAUAUCAGUUUAACGGGUUAUUUAUGUAAGGAUAAAUCUGACACAGGUGUCCGCAAAUUACUCGAAGAUGGCACGUUGCCAUUGGACAAGCUUCUGGUUGAAACGGACUCGCCGUUCAUGUAUCCAAAUACUCGAGCCUCUAAACUUCCUCAACACGUUAAGACUGGAAUAACGGAACGAUCGCUUUUAUAUUUACAUAGAUAUUGCACUUUUCAACGAAACGAACCCUGCAGUCUUCCUGCUAUUGUAGAGAUGAUUGCAUCAUUUAUGAAGAAAACACCAGACGAAGUGGCGCUGGCCACGGCCUUCACAGCUCUUAAGCUCUUUGGCCUAUCACAAUAACCAUGACUAGUUUUCUAUAUUUAUUUUUUUUACAGUUACAUUUAUUUUAUUUUUAUAGUCAGAGAAUGGAAGCUCUUCUGAUUUUUAAUAUUUUUAAGGAAUGACGUGUACCUACCAAAUUCGCUUCCUAUUUGCUUCCAGGUUUCUAGUUCUUCAAAGUUGUUAAAUGUAAACAUAUUGUUAUGUUCAAUUAUUUUUACGUGGUAGCGAGUAGUCGUUGGAACUCAUGGGCGUGUCUCAUAUUUAACUCGAACGUAUAUUAUACGCCAUUAUCAUUUUCAUUUUGCACGAGCAAGUUGAAUACUUUUUAUAUAUCAUAGAUUGCCUUUCUAUGUGAUCAACCGAAUUAUAUAGCUCAAUAUCUAAUAUAUUUGCCUAUAUGAUAUUUAUUCUUAAACAAAAGAAGAAAAACUACGUAAAAAACGUAAAAGGAGAAAAAAUCCAAAACACGUAAGCAAAAAAAUCGAGCUACUAACUUAUCGUUAUUCUAUUCAAAAGGACUUAUUGAAACGUCAUAGAAAUGAAGAAAAAAAGAUUAGAUUUUGUAAGAAAAAGUAACUGCAGUUAUGUUUCUAGUGAUAAGUGCCAUAAAAACGAUUUUAAAAGCUUUUGACCCACUACGUUGGAACACAGUAUACAAUUGCAACUCGAUGUACAUCAGGUUUGAGCUGUGUAGACUUUUAAUAUUUCUAUUUUAAGCUUAGCUAGCCGGCAAGCAAUAUGUUUAUUGUAUAGUUAGUUGGAAAACAAUUGUGAUCAAUUAUGCCUAAUGUUUAAGUGUAUAUUGUAUAAUUGCAUCUUUUUCAGGAACUUGUAUAUUAUUAUACACAAAGAAAAAUUGAUAUACAUCUCGAAA
RNAcentral lists this unclassified non-coding RNA (2085 nucleotides) under Hermetia illucens (black soldier fly). RNAcentral describes it as "3'-5' ssDNA/RNA exonuclease TatD, transcript variant X1". Lineage: Eukaryota; Metazoa; Arthropoda; Insecta; Diptera; Stratiomyidae. The record is from RNAcentral.